UCCUUGGAGGUCCAGUGGUUAGGACUUGGUGAUUUCACUGCUGUGGGCCCAGGUUCAAUCCCUGGUUUGGGAA
This 73-nucleotide transfer RNA is filed under the name Ovis aries (sheep). It matches the Rfam family "tRNA". Rfam says of the family: Transfer RNA (tRNA) molecules are approximately 80 nucleotides in length. Their secondary structure includes four short double-helical elements and three loops (D, anti-codon, and T loops). The record is from Rfam by way of RNAcentral. Lineage: Eukaryota; Metazoa; Chordata; Mammalia; Artiodactyla; Bovidae.